Molecule: long non-coding RNA, 1615 nt
Organism: Oryzias melastigma (Indian medaka)
Lineage: Eukaryota; Metazoa; Chordata; Actinopteri; Beloniformes; Adrianichthyidae
Exons: 4
Source: RefSeq, a predicted model, not a curated record
UGUUGGUUUUUAAGGUCUUGGGUCAUUUGGCUUUUGGAUCUUGGGUCUUUUGUUUUUUGUGGUCUUGGGUCGCUAGAGAAGCAAUGUCAAGAAUGUUGCAAAGUGGUUCUGUUAAAGGAUUUUCGAAGCAGCGACAUAUGGGGUCAAAUGACAUCAUUUGACGUCAUGUGACUGCAGGUCUUGUGAGGAAAUAUGACGUCAUACAAGCUGCCGCUGUAACCGGGAGUUUUAACUUGUAGGGCACUAGGACCCAGAAAACGCCUCUGCACCAAUGACGUAAUGCGCAGCCCCCCUUCCUGAAAUCGCCGCUCAUUUGUGUGUCCGGCUGCCAGUCAAACGUUCUUUGAUGAGUUCCCGCGGGAAUGCAGCCGUGUGUUGAUCGCUAGCUGCUAAACGUGAACUGUCAUCAACUGUCAGCAGCAAUCCAGCGCUGAUCCUGUUCAUCUUCUGGAGCAUUUUAAAGAGGAUUUUUCUCAGGAUCGGUUCUGCUGUCGUAAACCCGAACCUUCCGGACCGGAUGUCAUGUGGAACACUGGACUGAAUAAGCUCGUGUGGUGAUGAAGCUCCAGCUGUGUGGAGCAGUGAUGGAGGAAGGUCUCGUUAGAGACAUUACAGGAAGAGCAGCUACAGGUGGAGUGGGACAGAGCAGAGGUUCCCAAACUGUUGACGGGAAGAAGGAAAGACAUAACCUGAUGCUGAGACCAUUCAGACAUUUACAGUUACACUCUCAAGGCCUUUUGACAGAUUGCUCUGAUAUGAGGCUUCACUGCUGGAGGUGGGAGGGUUUGGGAACCGCUGUUCUGAGACGGAGCCCCCGACUGGGCCAGGUUUCAACGAGUCUAACAGAGUGGGCAGCACAGAGGUCAAAAAAGAACACCACAAACGGUGGACAGAACAUUUAGGUACGAAGUGAGGCUCCUUCAGACCAGGAGACAGAAAGGUCAGCUUCAUUUAGCCAUGAUUCAGUCCAGAACGCUUCGUCACACAUCCAGAGAAAAACCCAGAAACACUUUACUUUCUUUGUGUUGUUGAAAACAGGAUGGAGACACAAACAAAAACAGAAAACUCUUAAUGGAGAAUCCAGAGAUGCUUUUCUAAAUCCCACAGAAUGAAAUAAUAAACAUCAAGAACCACUUCAGUGAGAGCUUCUCCAACAGCAGCCUCAAACAGUGCUUCUUUAAAAAUACAAAUGGGUCUAAAUCAAAAGGGGACAGCAGUUUGUUAGAAAGAGGACUCUACCUGCUCAGAAACCAGGAGGAGUCACCACGAGAAGCUGCUGAGGGCAGCUCCUGACCACACCAAACCAAAGUACUGAUGGACUCCAUUUCAAAUGCACCUAAAAUCAAAUAUAAGAGCCCAGACUUCUAGUGAUGGCAAAGAGCUGGAAUAAACAUGCUGUAUUUGAAUUCACUUUAUUGGACAUUGGACAUUAGCCAAUGGUAAAAAAAUGCGCUGAAUCGAUUCCCUCCUGAAGCAGGCCUUUAGAUCUGCAAUGAGAACCAAAUGCAGGACAUGUCAAACACUAGAAGAACAACGUUUUCUACAGGAAAUGUGACUGCUGAAAAUCUGAGCUUGGAGCUGAAGACGCUGCAGAUGAUAAUAACAGGCUCAGACG